GGGGUUGUGACUAGUGGUAUGGUGCUUGUCUAGCAUGUAUGAGGCACUGGGUUCGAUCCUCAGCACCACA
This 70-nucleotide transfer RNA is filed under the name Marmota monax (woodchuck). Its description in RNAcentral is "tRNA.Ala". The record is from RNAcentral. Lineage: Eukaryota; Metazoa; Chordata; Mammalia; Rodentia; Sciuridae.